CUCUCGGCAACGGAUAUCUCGGCUCUCGCAUCGAUGAAGAACGUAGCGAAAUGCGAUACUUGGUGUGAAUUGCAGAAUCCCGUGAACCAUCGAGUUUUUGAACGCAAGUUGCGCCCGAAGCCUUUUGGCCAGGGCACGUCUGCCUGGGCGUCACA
RNAcentral lists this ribosomal RNA (155 nucleotides) under Calicorema capitata. Its description in RNAcentral is "5.8S ribosomal RNA". It matches the Rfam family "5.8S ribosomal RNA". Rfam says of the family: 5.8S ribosomal RNA (5.8S rRNA) is a component of the large subunit of the eukaryotic ribosome. The record is from RNAcentral. Lineage: Eukaryota; Viridiplantae; Streptophyta; Magnoliopsida; Caryophyllales; Amaranthaceae.